CCCUUAGAUGUUCUGGGCUGCACGCGCGCUACACUGUCGGAUUCAGCGAGUCAUAUCCUUAACCGAAAGGUUUGGGUAAUCUUUUGAAAGUCCGACGUGAUGGGGAUUGAUCAUUGCAAUUAUUGAUCAUGAACGAGGAAUUCCUAGUAAGCGCGAGUCAUCAGCUCGCGUUGAUUACGUCCCUGCCCUUUGUACACACCGCCCGUCGCUACUACCGAUUGAAUGGUUUAGUGAGAUCUUCGGAUUGGCGCCUACGCGGCUUCUCUGAGGCCACGCUGGAUGCCGAAAAGUUGCUCAAACUGUAUCAUUUAGAGGAAGUAAAAGUCGCAACA
Molecule: ribosomal RNA, 332 nt
Filed under: uncultured eukaryote
Lineage: Eukaryota
Description: partial 18S ribosomal RNA
Rfam family: Eukaryotic small subunit ribosomal RNA
Source: RNAcentral